AGCAGUAGGGAGUUUUCGGCAAUGGGGGGAACCCUGACCGAGCAACGCCGCGUGAACGAUGAAGGUCUUCGGAUCGUAAAGUUCUGUUGUAGCUAGGGAAAGCACGGGAGAGUGGAAAGCUCUCGUUUUGACCCAACUACCAGAAAGCCACGGCUAACUACGUGCCAGCAGCCGCGGUAAUACGUAGGUGGCAAGCGUUAUCCGGAAUUAUUGGGCGUAAAGAGUGAGCAGGCGGCCGUUUAAGUCUGAAGUCAAAUGCAGUGGCUCAACCACUGUCCGCUUUGGAAACUGGAUGGCUAGAGUACGAGAGAAGUAAGCGGAAUUCCAUGUGUAGCGGUGAAAUGCGUAGAUAUAUGGAGGAACACCAGAGGCGAAGGCGGCUUACUAGAUCGAUACUGACGCUCAGUCACGAAAGCGUGGGUAGCAAAUAGGAUUAGAUACCCUAGUAGUCCACGCCGUAAACGAUGAGAACUAGGUGUAGGGCUAAACCCUGUGCCGAAGCUAACGCAUUAAGUUCUCCGCCUGGGGAGUACGUUCGCAAGAAUGAAACUUAAAGGAAUUGACGGGGGCCCGCACAAGCAGUGGAGCAUGUGGUUUAAUUCGAAGCUACGCGAGGAACCUUACCAGGGCUUGACAUAGUGUCUAAGACUCUAGAGAUAGAGGGAUAAUAGGUACAUACAGGUGGUGCAUGGUUGUCGUCAGCUCGUGUCGUGAGAUGUUAGGUUAAGUCCUCCAACGAGCGCAACCCUUGUCCUUAGUUGCCAGCAUUUAGUUGGGGACUCUAGGGAGACCGCCGGCGUAAGCCGGAGGAAGGUGGGGAUGACGUCAAAUCAUCAUGCUC
This 841-nucleotide ribosomal RNA is filed under the name uncultured bacterium. RNAcentral's name for it is "bacterial SSU rRNA". It matches the Rfam family "Bacterial small subunit ribosomal RNA", at positions 350 to 1200 of the family's 1533-position model. The record is from RNAcentral.